AAUCUUGAGAGUUUGAUCCUGGCUCAGAAUCAACGCUGGCGGCGUGCCUAACACAUGCAAGUCGAGCGAGAAAAGGGGAGCAAUCCCCUGAGUACAGCGGCGCACGGGUGAGUAACACGUGGGUAAUCUGCCCUAGAGUGGG
This 142-nucleotide ribosomal RNA is filed under the name Acidobacteriota bacterium. Its description in RNAcentral is "Acidobacteria bacterium partial 16S ribosomal RNA". It matches the Rfam family "Bacterial small subunit ribosomal RNA", at positions 1 to 140 of the family's 1533-position model. The record is from RNAcentral. Lineage: Bacteria; Pseudomonadati; Acidobacteriota.